UACGUAGGGUGCAAGCGUUGUCCGGAAUUAUUGGGCGUAAAGAGCUCGUAGGCGGUUUGUCGCGUCUGCUGUGAAAACCCGCGGCUCAACUGCGGGCCUGCAGCCGAUACGGGCAGGCUAGAGUUCGGUAGGGGAGACUGGAAUUCCUGGUGUAGCGGUGAAAUGCGCAGAUAUCAGGAGGAACACCGAUGGCGAAGGCAGCUCGCUGGGACGGUACUGACGCUGAGGCGCGAAAGCGUGGGGAGCGAACAGG
Molecule: ribosomal RNA, 253 nt
Filed under: uncultured bacterium
Lineage: Bacteria
Description: partial 16S ribosomal RNA
Rfam family: Bacterial small subunit ribosomal RNA
Source: RNAcentral